UGAGGAAUCUUGCGCAAUGGGCGAAAGCCUGACGCAGCCACGCCGCGUGUCGGAAGACGGCCCUAUGGGUUGUAAACGACUUUUACCAGGGAAGAAACGGAGGGUUUAGACCUUUUUUGACGGUACCUGGUGAAUAAGCACCGGCUAACUCCGUGCCAGCAGCCGCGGUAAUACGGAGGGUGCAAGCGUUGUCCGGAAUCAUUGGGUGUAAAGGGUGCGUAGGCGGAUGUUUAAGUCUGAGGUGAAAUCUUGCCGCUUAACGGUAAAAUGGCCUUGGAUACUGGGCAUCUUGAGUGCAGAAGAGGCAGGUGGAAUUCGUAGUGUAGCGGUGAAAUGCAUAGAUAUUACGAAGAACAUCAGUGGCGAAGGCGGCCUGCUGGUCUGCAACUGACGCUGAGGCACGAAAGCGUGGGGAGCGAACAGGAUUAGAUACCCCCGUAGUCC
Molecule: ribosomal RNA, 444 nt
Filed under: uncultured prokaryote
Description: bacterial SSU rRNA
Rfam family: Bacterial small subunit ribosomal RNA
Source: RNAcentral